GAAGCCUGCCAGACAAUCGCUGCUUAUCGUUUUCGGUAAGGGGAGGAAAGUCCGGGCUCCAUAGGGCAGAGUGCCAGGUAACGCCUGGGCAGUGAAAGCUGACGACUAGUGCAACAGAGAGCAAACCGCCGAUGGCCGCUUGCGGCUCAGGUAAGGGUGAAAGGGUGCGGUAAGAGCGCACCGCGCGUCUGGUAACAGCACGUGGCACGGUAAACUCCACUCGGAGCAAGGUCAAAUAGGGGUUCGUUGGCGCGGCCCGCGUUGAACCCGGGUAGACUGCUUGAGAAUACGGGCAACCGUAUUACUAGAUGAAUGAUUGUCCACGACAAAACCCGGCUUAUCGGCGGGCUUCUUCA
Idiomarina baltica OS145 is the source of this 356-nucleotide non-coding RNA. The record is from Rfam. NCBI's taxonomy places the organism in Bacteria, Pseudomonadati, Pseudomonadota, Gammaproteobacteria, Alteromonadales, Idiomarinaceae.